Molecule: ribosomal RNA, 238 nt
Filed under: Pleosporales sp. r114
Lineage: Eukaryota; Fungi; Ascomycota; Dothideomycetes; Pleosporales
Description: partial 18S ribosomal RNA
Source: RNAcentral
CUCAAGGGCGGUGAUCACAGAUUGCAAAAGGGGAACAUUGGGGAGGAGAAGGUGCAAUGGUACUAUGCUAUGCUAUCUCUUGUGCUAGGCGCCAAUAUGCCACUCUCAGUGCGCAUCGCGCGCCUGUGUGCAGAACUUGGCAAGGCGCAUUGCUAUCCUCAACCCAACGCUUCCUCUCUUGCCCUCUGUGGUCGCGAAGCAAGACCGUUCCGUAGGUGAACCUGCGGAAGGAUCAUUA